Molecule: ribosomal RNA, 253 nt
Filed under: uncultured bacterium
Lineage: Bacteria
Description: partial 16S ribosomal RNA
Rfam family: Bacterial small subunit ribosomal RNA
Source: RNAcentral
UACGGAGGAUCCAAGCGUUAUCCGGAUUUAUUGGGUUUAAAGGGUGCGUAGGCGGCCUGUUAAGUCAGGGGUGAAAGACGGUAGCUCAACUAUCGCAGUGCCCUUGAUACUGACGGGCUUGAAUGAACUAGAGGUAGGCGGAAUGUGACAAGUAGCGGUGAAAUGCAUAGAUAUGUCACAGAACACCGAUUGCGAAGGCAGCUUACUAUGGUUUUAUUGACGCUGAGGCACGAAAGCGUGGGGAUCAAACAGG